CAGGGAGACAACAAAAUGUUUAAUAUUAUUAUUUUGUCACCUUAGGUCGAUCGGUAUCUCACGUUCUUAAUUUAUUAAGAAUUUCAUUUCCUAAGUUUUUCUAGGUCACACCCAUUAUUUUUCCUGGGCCAUUAGCUCAGGUGGUUAGAGCGCACCCCUGAUAAGGGUGAGGUCCCUGGUUCAAGUCCAGGAUGGCCCAUAUCUCUAUGUUGGGGGUAUAGCUCAGUUGGUAGAGCGCCUGCUUUGCAAGCAGGAUGUCAGCGGUUCGAGUCCGCUUACCUCCACUGAUUACCACCUCUUCCAUAACCGGUAGAAAGGAAAUGUUUUGAGUUGUGAUCAUUAUUCUGAACGAAUCUAGCUUCCUAAUGAAAUCAUUAAGAUGCUGGACUCAUUGAAUUAAUUUCAUUGUUUUCAGAGAACCUUGACAACUGCAUAGAUUAUUUUUAAAGACAAUAAGCAUCUUUAAUGAUGCAGAUUUAUUAUUUGUGCGAAUGCAUUAAUAACAAUUCUAUUGAGCUGAUGCUUCAAUUUUUGAAGUUAUU
RNAcentral lists this transfer RNA (542 nucleotides) under uncultured Prochlorococcus sp. RNAcentral's name for it is "partial 16S-23S ribosomal RNA intergenic spacer". The stretch from base 212 to 284 matches the Rfam family "tRNA". Lineage: Bacteria; Bacillati; Cyanobacteriota; Cyanophyceae; Synechococcales; Prochlorococcaceae. The record is from RNAcentral.